UCGAGGCGCGUAGUUGUAGCCUAGAUAUGUAGGGUGCUGGAGUACGUCAGUUAAGUGUUAAUAUGAUCACUGAUAUUUUACCUACAAGCGUUUGCACUUUUUGCGCAUGUUAAAUACAUCCAGUCAGUAUGUCUAGCUAGCUAGCAAGCUAAGUCCUCUGUUUGUAACGUUACUUUAAAAAGAGGUUUCGUUAAUUAACGUUAGGUCAACGUGUAUUAUCUACACGUGGGGAUGUUUGUACGUUAAUGAGGUCAUCUGAAGAAAAGGGUUCCAGUGGAAUGAGCCUUGUGGACCUCAUAUACAUGGUUGACCAGCUGGAGUGAAUGCAGAGCGUGUCUCUUGGCACAUCUACCAUAAGUAUUUGCGUAGUUUCUUUGUUUUUAUUUUAAUGUAUUCAUUUUCCAAAUAAAUACCAAAA
This is a long non-coding RNA of Seriola dumerili (greater amberjack), 418 nucleotides long. RefSeq lists it as uncharacterized. Lineage: Eukaryota; Metazoa; Chordata; Actinopteri; Carangiformes; Carangidae. The record is from RefSeq and is a predicted model, not a curated record. The transcript is spliced from 3 exons.